AUCCAACUGACAAGUCCCAAAUAGGACGAAAUGCGCGUUGUCCUGGAU
This 48-nucleotide non-coding RNA is filed under the name Trichobilharzia regenti. Lineage: Eukaryota; Metazoa; Platyhelminthes; Trematoda; Strigeidida; Schistosomatidae. The record is from RNAcentral.